GUGGGGAAUAUUGGACAAUGGGCGAAAGCCUGAUCCAGCCAUGCCGCGUGAGUGAUGAAGGCCCUAGGGUUGUAAAGCUCUUUCGCCGGUGAAGAUAAUGACGGUAACCGGAGAAGAAGCCCCGGCUAACUUCGUGCCAGCAGCCGCGGUAAUACGAAGGGGGCUAGCGUUGUUCGGAAUUACUGGGCGUAAAGCGCACGUAGGCGGACAUUUAAGUCAGGGGUGAAAUCCCGGGGCUCAACCCCGGAACUGCCUUUGAUACUGGGUGUCUUGAGUCCGAGAGAGGUGAGUGGAAUUCCGAGUGUAGAGGUGAAAUUCGUAGAUAUUCGGAGGAACACCAGUGGCGAAGGCGGCUCACUGGCUCGGUACUGACGCUGAGGUGCGAAAGCGUGGGGAGCAAACAGG
Molecule: ribosomal RNA, 405 nt
Filed under: uncultured Rhizobiaceae bacterium
Lineage: Bacteria; Pseudomonadati; Pseudomonadota; Alphaproteobacteria; Hyphomicrobiales; Rhizobiaceae
Description: bacterial SSU rRNA
Rfam family: Bacterial small subunit ribosomal RNA
Source: RNAcentral